RNAcentral lists this ribosomal RNA (325 nucleotides) under uncultured eukaryote. Its description in RNAcentral is "partial 18S ribosomal RNA". It matches the Rfam family "Eukaryotic small subunit ribosomal RNA", at positions 1470 to 1796 of the family's 1831-position model. The record is from RNAcentral.
CCCUUAGAUGUUCUGGGCCGCACGCGCGCUACACUGAUGCAUUCAACGAGCCUAUCCUUGACCGACAGGUCCGGGUAAUCUUUGAAUCUGCAUCGUGACGGGGCUAGAUUAUUGCAAUUAUUAAUCUUCAACGAGGAAUGCCUAGUAGGCGCAAGUCAUCAGCUUGCGUCGAUUACGUCCCUGCCCUUUGUACACACCGCCCGUCGCUCCUACCGAUUGGGUGUGCUGGUGAAAUGUUCGGAUCGGCCGUUUGUCGCGGUUUCCGCGUCAUGUGGCUGAGAAGUUCAUUAAACCCUCCCACCUAGAGGAAGGAGAAGUCGUAACA